Molecule: ribosomal RNA, 487 nt
Filed under: Bacillus sp. WBQ_18Q
Lineage: Bacteria; Bacillati; Bacillota; Bacilli; Caryophanales; Bacillaceae
Description: bacterial SSU rRNA
Rfam family: Bacterial small subunit ribosomal RNA
Source: RNAcentral
UCAGAAAACCAUAGAGAUCGGGCUUUUCCUUCGGGAGCAGAGUGACAGGUGGUGCAUGGUUGUCGUCAGCUCGUGUCGUGAGAUGUUGGGUUAAGUCCCGCAACGAGCGCAACCCUUGAUCUUAGUUGCCCUCAUUAAGUUGGGCACUCUAAGGUGCCUGCCGGUGACAAACCGGAGGAAGGUGGGGAUGACGUCAAAUCAUCAUGCCCCUUAUGACCUGGGCUACACACGUGCUACAAUGGACGGUACAAAGAGCUGCAAGACCGCGAGGUGGAGCUAAUCUCAUAAAACCGUUCUCAGUUCGGAUUGUAGGCUGCAACUCGCCUACAUGAAGCUGGAAUCGCUAGUAAUCGCGGAUCAGCAUGCCGCGGUGAAUACGUUCCCGGGCCUUGUACACACCGCCCGUCACACCACGAGAGUUUGUAACACCCGAAGUCGGUGGGGUAACCUUUUGGAGCCAGCCGCCUAAGUGGACCAGAAGAUUUGG